RNAcentral lists this ribosomal RNA (253 nucleotides) under uncultured bacterium. RNAcentral's name for it is "partial 16S ribosomal RNA". It matches the Rfam family "Bacterial small subunit ribosomal RNA", at positions 524 to 776 of the family's 1533-position model. The record is from RNAcentral.
UACAGAGGGUGCAAGCGUUGUUCGGAAUUAUUGGGCGUAAAGCGCACGUAGGCGGUUCGUUAUGUCAGAUGUGAAAGCCCUUGGCUCAACUGAGGAAGUGCAUCUGAAACUGGCGAGCUAGAGUAUGUAAGAGGGUCGCGGAAUUCCCGGUGUAGAGGUGAAAUUCGUAGAUAUCGGGAGGAACACCGGUGGCGAAGGCGGCAUCCUGGACCAAUAUUGACGCUGAGGAGCGAAAGCUAGGGGAGCAAACGGG